UACGGAGGGUGCAAGCGUUAUUCGGAAUUACUGGGCGUAAAGCGCACGUAGGCGGCCUUGUAAGUCAGGGGUGAAAUCCCACGGCUCAACCGUGGAACUGCCUUUGAAACUGCAGGGCUUGAAUCCUGGAGAGGGUGGCGGAAUUCCUGGUGUAGGAGUGAAAUCCGUAGAUAUCAGGAGGAACACCGGUGGCGAAGGCGGCCACCUGGACAGGUAUUGACGCUGAGGUG
This 230-nucleotide ribosomal RNA is filed under the name uncultured microorganism. Its description in RNAcentral is "partial 16S ribosomal RNA". It matches the Rfam family "Bacterial small subunit ribosomal RNA", at positions 524 to 753 of the family's 1533-position model. The record is from RNAcentral.